GUAGGUGGCAAGCGUUGUCCGGAAUUAUUGGGCGUAAAGCGCGCGCAGGUGGUUCUUUAAGUCUGAUGUGAAAGCCCCCGGGCUCAACCGGGGAGGGUCAUUGGAAACUGGGGAACUUGAGUGCAGGAGAGGAAAGUGGAAUUCCACGUGUAGCGGUGAAAUGCGUAGAUAUGUGGAGGAACACCAGUGGCGAAGGCGACUUUCUGGCCUGUAACUGACACUGAGGCGCGAAAGCGUGGGGAGCAAACAGGAUUAGAUACCCUGGUAGUCCACGCCGUAAACGAUGAGUGCUAAGUGUUGGGGGGUUUCCGCCCCUCAGUGCUGCAGCCAACGCAUUAAGCACUCCGCCUGGGGAGUACGGUCGCAAAGACUG
RNAcentral lists this ribosomal RNA (373 nucleotides) under uncultured organism. Its description in RNAcentral is "partial 16S ribosomal RNA". It matches the Rfam family "Bacterial small subunit ribosomal RNA", at positions 527 to 896 of the family's 1533-position model. The record is from RNAcentral.